Molecule: ribosomal RNA, 465 nt
Filed under: uncultured bacterium
Lineage: Bacteria
Description: partial 16S ribosomal RNA
Rfam family: Bacterial small subunit ribosomal RNA
Source: RNAcentral
GACGAACGCUGGCGGCGUGCUUAACACAUGCAAGUCGAACGGAAAGGCCCUGCUUGCAGGGUACUCGAGUGGCGAACGGUUGAGUAACACGUGGGUGAUCUGCCCUGCACUUCGGGUUAAGCCUGGGAAACUGGGUCUAAUACCGGAGAGGAGCCAUUUUUAGUGUGAUGGUUGGAAAGUUUUUUCGGUGUAGGAUGAGCUCGCGGCCUAUCAGCUUGUUGGUGGGGUAAUGGCCUACCAAGGCGGCGACGGGUAGCCGGCCUGAGAGGGUGGACGGCCACAUUGGGACUGAGAUACAGCCCAGACUCCUACGGGAGGCAGCAGUGGGGAAUAUUGCACAAUGGGCGCAAGCCUGAUGCAGAGACGCCGAGGGGGGGAUGACGGCCUUCGGGUUGUAAACUCCUUUCGCUAGGGACGAAGCUUUUUGUGACGGUACCUAGAUAAGAAGCCCCGGCUAACUACGUG